Parabacteroides sp. is the source of this 2908-nucleotide ribosomal RNA. It matches the Rfam family "Bacterial large subunit ribosomal RNA". The record is from Rfam. NCBI's taxonomy places the organism in Bacteria, Pseudomonadati, Bacteroidota, Bacteroidia, Bacteroidales, Tannerellaceae.
AGGAAAGGAGACAAGGGCACAUGAAGGAUGCCUUGGCUCUCGGAGGCGAAGAAGGACGUGACAAGCUGCGAUAAGCCGCGGGGAGGGGCAAAUACCCAUUGAACCGCGGAUUUCCGAAUGGGGCAACCCACCGGAAGCGAUUCCGGUAUCUGCGGUAUGCGCAGAGGCAAACCCGGGGAACUGAAACAUCUCAGUACCCGGAGGAAAAGAAAAUAACAAUGAUUCCGCAAGUAGUGGCGAGCGAACGCGGAAGAGCCCAAACCGGAGAUGUGGCAACGCAUCAUCCGGGGUUGUAGGACCUGACGACAAAUUUGGUAUCCAGGAUAGCCGAACCGGCUGGAAAGCCGGGCCGUAGCGGGUGAAAGCCCCUUAGGCGAAAUCCGGAGGAUAUUGAAGAGACAGGCACCUGAGUAUCGCGGGACACGAGAAAUCCUGCGAGAAUCCGCCGGGACCAUCCGGCAAGGCUAAACACUACCGAGAGACCGAUAGCGAACCAGUACCGUGAGGGAAAGGUGAAAAGAACCUCGAACAGAGGAGUGAAACAGACCCUGAAAUCAUGUGCCUACAAGCGGUUCGAGCCCUUAAGUGGGGUGAGAGCGUGCCUUUUGCAUAAUGAACCUACGAGUCACCGUCGCCGGCGAGGCUAAGUGUCAUCAGGCACGGAGCCGGAGCGAAAGCGAGUCUGAACAGGGCGUCAGAGUCGGCGGAGGUGGACGCGAAACCAAGUGAUCUACCCUUGGGCAGGUUGAAGGUGGGGUAACACCCACUGGAGGACCGAACCGGUAAGCGUUGAAAAGCUUUCGGAUGACCUGAGGGUAGGAGUGAAAGGCCAAUCAAACUUGGAGAUAGCUCGUACUCCCCGAAAUGCAUUUAGGUGCAGCCUCGGGGUCAGUACCGCGGAGGUAGAGCGACCGAUAGGAUGCGAGGGCUUCACCGCCUAUCAAGUCCUGACGAACUCCGAAUGCCGCGGCACGAUCCCCGGGAGUGAGGGCGCGGGUGCUAAGGUCCGCGUCCGAGAGAGGAACAACUCAGACCACCGGCCAAGGCCCCCAAAUGCGGGCUAAGUUGAAGACCAUAACGAGGUGGGAUUGCCUUGACAGCUAGGAUGUUGGCUUGGAAGCAGCCAUUCAUUUAAAGAGUGCGUAACAGCUCACUAGUCGAGUGAUCCCGCAUGGAUAAUAAUCGGGCAUAAGUCCGCUGCCGCAGCCGUGGAAUCUCAAAUAUUUUUGAGAUUGGUAGGGGAGCAUUCCGCACGCCGCAGAAGGUGAGGCGCGAGCCUUGCUGGAGGUACCGGAAAAGCAAAUGUAGGUAUAAGUAACGAUAAUUGGGGCGAGAAACCCCAACGCCGAAAGACCAAGGGUUCCUGAUCAACGCUAAUCGGAUCAGGUUAAGUCGGGACCUAAGGAGCAGCCGCAAGGCGCAUCCGAUGGACAGCCGGUCAAUAUUCCGGCACCCGGCGCAAGAGUGAUGCGGCGACGGAGAAGUGACACAUCCGCGUGCUGACGGAAUAGCACGUUAAACCGCGUAGUUAUAUAUGGCGCAGUCAAGUACACGCUGUAUGAUGAAACGGGACAGUACCGAGAAGCCCCGGCGGAUCGGACAGAGAUGGUAAUCCGGCUCCCAAGAAAACCCGCUAAACAAAUCUUGCGUUGGCCCGUACCGUAAACCGACACAGGUGGUCGGGUAGAAUAUACUAAGGCGCUCGAGAGAAUCAUGGUUAAGGAACUAGGCAAAUUGACCCCGUAACUUCGGGAUAAGGGGUCCCCGCUGCAAGGCGGGGCGCAGAGAAUAGGUCCAGGCAACUGUUUAACAAAAACACAGGGCUAUGCAAAGUUUAAAGACGAAGAAUAUAGCCUGACACCUGCCCGGUGCCGGAAGGUUAAGAGGAGAUGUCAUCGCAAGAGAAGCAUUGAAUUGAAGCCCCGGUAAACGGCGGCCGUAACUAUAACGGUCCUAAGGUAGCGAAAUUCCUUGUCGGGUAAGUUCCGACCUGCACGAAUGGUGUAAUGAUCUGGACACUGUCUCAACCAUGAACUCGGUGAAAUUGUAGUAUCGGUGAAGAUGCCGAUUACCCGCAACGGGACGAAAAGACCCCGUGAACCUUUACUGCAGCUUAGCACUGUGACCGGGUGUGCGAUGUGUAGGAUAGUCAGGAGACAGCGAAUCAGGGACGCCAGUUCCUGAGGAGUCGACGUUGAAAUACUGACCUUCGCACAUUUGGUCUCUAACUCUCGUUUGAGAGGACACUGCUUGGUGGGUAGUUUGACUGGGGUGGUCGCCUCCAAAAGAGUAACGGAGGCUUCUAAAGGUGCGCUCAGGCCGAUUGGUAACCGGCCGCAGAGUGUAAUGGCACAAGCGCGCUUGACUGGGAGACAAACAAGUCGCACAGGUAGGAAACUAGAGCAUAGUGAUCCGGUGGUUCCGCAUGGAAGGGCCAUCGCUCAAAGGAUAAAAGGUACUCCGGGGAUAACAGGCUGAUCCCUCCCAAGAGCUCAUAUCGACGGAGUGGUUUGGCACCUCGAUGUCGGCUCGUCACAUCCCGGGGCUGGAGAAGGUCCCAAGGGUUAGGCUGUUCGCCUAUUAAAGUGGCACGCGAGCUGGGUUCAGAACGUCGUGAGACAGUUCGGUCUCUAUCUGUUGUGGGCGUAGGAGAUUUGCGAGGGUCCGGCACUAGUACGAGAGGACCGUGCUGGACAGACCACCGGUUUACCGGUUGUACCGCCAGGUGCACCGCCGGGUAUCCGCGUCUGGACAGGAUAAGUGCUGAAAGCAUCUAAGCACGAAGCCCUCCUCAAGAUAAGAUCUCCUCCAUAUAGGGUCGUUGCAGACUACGACGUAGAUAGGUUGCAGGUGCAGGGGCAGCAAUGUCCACAGCCGAGCAAUACUAAUAGCCCGAACCCUUUCCGGG